RNAcentral lists this small RNA (542 nucleotides) under Arabidopsis thaliana (thale cress). RNAcentral's name for it is "ATSL187620". Lineage: Eukaryota; Viridiplantae; Streptophyta; Magnoliopsida; Brassicales; Brassicaceae. The record is from RNAcentral.
AUUAUUAAAAAUUUAGACGAAGGUAUACUAGUUUUGUAAUCCCAUUAUUAAUAGUCUAUAGAAUGGUAACGGGCUAACGGCGAUGGUGAUAAACGGAAGAGAAGAGAGAGAGCUAGGGUUGGAGAAAGAGACAAAAGAGAGGGACUACGGAAUGCAGAGGAAAGCUUCGGCGGUGUUCAUAGGGUCGUAGAAAGGAGAAAAAAAACAGAGAGAAACGACGGAAGGCAGAGGAAAGCUUCGGCGGUGCUCAUAAGAAACCCAUGGAGAAGUCUAGAGUCGGAGAUGUUGUCGGAGAAAGGAGAAAAAAACAGAGAGAGAAGACGGAAUGCAGAGGAAAGCUUCGGCGGUGCUCAGCUCAUAAGAACCAUGGAGAAAUCUAGCGUCGGAGAGAAAUACAAACACACAACAGAGAGAGAGAGAAAGAGAGAGCUUACAUUGUGAGAUCAGAGCGAGAGCUUCCAUCCAGAGAGAGAGAGUGAGAGCUUAUAUAGAUGGUUUUCCGAAUAUAUAGUGUGUGAGAACGAAGAACCAUCUUUUGUUUU